This 256-nucleotide ribosomal RNA is filed under the name uncultured bacterium. RNAcentral's name for it is "partial 16S ribosomal RNA". It matches the Rfam family "Bacterial small subunit ribosomal RNA", at positions 99 to 353 of the family's 1533-position model. The record is from RNAcentral.
CGGACGGGUGAGUAACGCGUGGGUAACCUGCCUUGUACUGGGGGACAACAGUUGGAAACGACUGCUAAUACCGCAUAAGCGCACAGCUUCGCAUGAAGCAGUGUGAAAAACUCCGGUGGUACAAGAUGGACCCGCGUCUGAUUAGCUGGUUGGUGAGGUAACGGCCCACCAAGGCGACGAUCAGUAGCCGGCCUGAGAGGGUGAACGGCCACAUUGGGACUGAGACACGGCCCAAACUCCUACGGGAGGCAGCAUG